AACUUUCGGCAAUGGAUCACUUGGUUCUGGCAUCGAUGAAGAACGCAGCGAAAUGCGAUAAGUAAUGUGAAUUGCAGAAUUCAGUGAAUCAUCGAAGCUUUGAACGCACAUUGCGCCCCCUGGUAUUCCGGGGGGCAUGCCUGUCCGAGCGUCAUUACAACCCUCAAGCUCAGCUUGGUGUUGGGCCCCGCCGCCCCGGCGGGCCCUAAAGUCAGUGGCGGUGCCGUCCGGCUCCGAGCGUAGUAAUUCUUCUCGCUCUGGAGGUCCGGUCGUGUGCUUGCCAUCAACCCCCAAUUUUUCUCAGGUUGACCUCGGAUCAGGUAGGGAUACCCGCUGAACUUAAGCAUAUCAAUAAGCGGAGGCU
RNAcentral lists this unclassified non-coding RNA (364 nucleotides) under uncultured Geomyces. RNAcentral's name for it is "sequence contains ITS2". The stretch from base 1 to 154 matches the Rfam family "5.8S ribosomal RNA". The record is from RNAcentral. Lineage: Eukaryota; Fungi; Ascomycota; Leotiomycetes; Myxotrichaceae.